AACGCUGGCGGCAGGCUUAACACAUGCAAGUCGAACGGUUGUAGCAAUACAGCAGUGGCGCACGGGUGAGUAACGCGUGGAUAUCUGCCUUUUGGUUCGGAAUAACUCCGGGAAACUGGAGCUAAUACCGGAUGGUUCCUGCGGGAUAAAGAUUUAUCGCCAAAAGAUGAGUCCGCGUACGAUUAGCUAGUUGGUGAGGUAAUGGCUCACCAAGGCGACGAUCGUUAGCUGGUCUGAGAGGACGAUCAGCCACACUGGGACUGAGACACGGCCCAGACUCCUACGGGAGGCAGCAGUGGGGAAUAUUGGACAAUGGGGCAACCCUGAUCCAGCCAUGCCGCGUGAGUGAUGAAGGCCUUCGGGUUGUAAAGCUCUUUGGCGGGGACGAUGAUGACGGUACCCGCAGAAUAAGCCCCGGCUAACUUCGUG
Molecule: ribosomal RNA, 429 nt
Filed under: uncultured bacterium
Lineage: Bacteria
Description: bacterial SSU rRNA
Rfam family: Bacterial small subunit ribosomal RNA
Source: RNAcentral